GAUGAACGCUGGCGGCGUGCUUAACACAUGCAAGUCGAACGGAAAGGCCCAAGCUUGCUUGGGUACUCGAGUGGCGAACGGGUGAGUAACACGUGGGUGAUCUGCCCUGCACUUCGGGAUAAGCCUGGGAAACUGGGUCUAAUACCGGAUAGGACCACUUCUUGGAUGUUGUGGUGGAAAGUUUUUUCGGUGUGGGAUGAGCUCGCGGCCUAUCAGCUUGUUGGUGGGGUAAUGGCCUACCAAGGCGUCGACGGGCAGCCGGCCUGAGAGGGUGUACGGCCACAUUGGGACUGAGAUACGGCCCAGACUCCUACGGGAGGCAGCAGUGGGGAAUAUUGCACAAUGGGCGCAAGCCUGAUGCAGCGACGCCGCGUGGGGGAUGACGGCCUUCGGGUUGUAAACGCCUUUCGCUAGGGACGAAGCGUUUUGUGACGGUACCUGGAGAAGAAGCACCGGCUAACUACGUG
This 467-nucleotide ribosomal RNA is filed under the name uncultured bacterium. Its description in RNAcentral is "partial 16S ribosomal RNA". It matches the Rfam family "Bacterial small subunit ribosomal RNA", at positions 28 to 507 of the family's 1533-position model. The record is from RNAcentral.